ACUGGAUUGGUUGCUACAGAACAGGAGGUGUAAAAGAAAAUAAAUAAAAGCCCACAGUUUCUCAUAAUUAUCACAUUUGCCUGCCAACACACGGGUCUGAACACUCAGCAAUCAUUUAAAUGAUACUAUCAGGGGACAGUGAAGGAGAGGAUGACGACGACGACGAUGAUGAUGAUGACAGUAGGGGUGCUGGAAUAAGCAUCUGUUGCCAAGGAUAGAUGCCACACCCUGCACUGCUGAGAAAGUCCAAUAGAGACACUGGACCAACGGACUGUGUGGAUCGACGGUCGUCACAUGACCAGCGCACCUCACAUCCUUUGUGCUGUCUCAACCCAAAGACGCUUGAAAAUGUUGCAUUGUAAUGCAUUUAUUUGUCUUGUACUGUUUUUACAGGGGGCAGUCGGCACCUUUUUAUUUAUCCUUGGCUCCUACAGCCCCAAUCAGUCGGUUGAAGCUCCUUGGGUCAGGAAAAAAUGAGUAACACUGUUUCAUUAUCAGUGUUAUGCAGUUUUGUGGGUCAUUUCUACAUUAUACAUAAUAAGACAUUACUGUACUCACGGCUGCACAACUUUUCAAUCUCAUUGGUUGUUGCGUUUCAGCGAUCUUGAGAACUUUCUAAAGCUAAGAUUUGUGGAACCUGUGCGCCACCAUCUUGUGUGAGUAAAGUGAUCUGAAACAUAGCCCACACAGGCUCCACGAAUCUCAACCUUUGAGUCUUAUUGAUUGUUGUGUGUCUUCGACCACAAGAACCCAUGAGAUUCCAAAAUUGAGAUUCGUGGAACCUGUGCACCACCAUUUUGUGUGAGUAAAGUGAUCUUAAACAUAGCUCACACAGGCUCCACGAAUCUCAACUUUGGAGUCUUAUUGAUUGUUGUGUGUCUUCGACCACAAGAACCCAUGAGAUUCCAAAAUUGAGAUUCGUGCAGCCAUUUUGUGAGUACAGUGAUGCAUUAAACACAAUGCAUCACUGUACUCAUCUAAACCAUAAUCUAAAGAUUGUGAAUGUAAAAAGGAAUGUAGAAUGUAGGAAUGACUCUGCGGUUCUUUAUGAAUCAUGUAUGGUAUAAUUCCAUUGUGGAUGUUUAGCUAUUCAUGUUAAGCUUAUCAUCUAUUUCUCAUGUGCUACACACAACUUUCAGUAGUGAUGUUAAACAUGCUAAUGACAUGUAUUGAGUUUACUAACCUACUGUAGAUCAAUCUACAUUUGGUGGUAAUUUCUCUCAUGAUUAUAAUGAGUAUUUACUCAUAAUCGCUUUGAUUUUUAUCACUCCGAUUUAAGAGUAACUUGUGUAGUGUCCAGUUUAUUUACUAUUGAUAUCUCAAAAUUGUACUUGGUUAUGUAGGGGGACUAUUAGCAAGACGUGAUCUGUUACAGAAAAUUAUUAUGUCUGCCUGUGCUCCAGUCAUAUUACAGUCAUUCUGUGACUGUAUCACUAAUGCUAAUAAGCUACAUGGAAACUCCCGCUUAAUAAAGUUGUGUAAAAAAGAAA
Molecule: long non-coding RNA, 1490 nt
Organism: Triplophysa rosa
Lineage: Eukaryota; Metazoa; Chordata; Actinopteri; Cypriniformes; Nemacheilidae
Exons: 2
Source: RefSeq, a predicted model, not a curated record